GAAAAUGGGGUAUAUUAAUACAAUGGCAUUUUACUUCAUCAUAAAGAAGAAUGAAGUGAUGGAAUUUGCUGGUAAAGGGAUGGAACUGGAGAAUAUCAUGCUGAGUAAAACUAACCCAGGCACAGAAAGUCAAGGGUUGAAUGAUUUCUCUCACAUGCAGGAGCUAGACCAAAAUAAGGGUGGGGAGAGAGAGAGAGAGAGAGAGAGAGAGAGAGAGAGAGGGAGGGAGGGAGGGAGAGGGAGGGGGGAAUUCCAUGAAUAUAGAAAAAAGAUGAGUACAAUAUAGGAAGGUGAUUUCAGGGGAAAGAGUAAAGAUGGAUUAAGGGAGGACAGUGGAAUGAAGUGACCAAACUUUCCCAUGUGCAUAUGUGAAGAUACCACAGUGAAUUUCUCCUUUAUGUAAACCCAUGAUGUACUAAGGUUUUAAAAACAUAAAUAAAUGGAAGUAAGAUGAGUAGAGGGAAGGAAACAGGGGAGGGAAGAGGGGCAGGAAAGGGCAAGUGCUUGGAACUGAAUCGGAGCCAAUCAUGUUCCAUGUUUGUAUAAUUAUGUCAAAAUGAACCCCCAAUAUCAUGUGUAUCUAUAAUGAACUAAGAAAAAAUUAUCUUUGUGCUUUUAAGAAAAGCUUAAUGCUGAGCUUAAAAUGCAAGAAACAAAACACUAUGUUUUAUCAUUUUACAACUCGGUGGACUGAGACGGACAUCGUUACCCUAAAUACAUGUAUGAAG
Molecule: long non-coding RNA, 728 nt
Filed under: Marmota monax (woodchuck)
Lineage: Eukaryota; Metazoa; Chordata; Mammalia; Rodentia; Sciuridae
Source: RNAcentral